RNAcentral lists this ribosomal RNA (433 nucleotides) under uncultured bacterium. RNAcentral describes it as "partial 16S ribosomal RNA". It matches the Rfam family "Bacterial small subunit ribosomal RNA", at positions 29 to 507 of the family's 1533-position model. The record is from RNAcentral.
AACGAACGCUGGCGGCAUGCCUAACACAUGCAAGUCGAACGAGACCUUCGGGUCUAGUGGCGCACGGGUGCGUAACGCGUGGGAACCUGCCCUUAGGUUCGGAAUAACUCCCCGAAAGGGGUGCUAAUACCGGAUAAUGUCUUCGGACCAAAGAUUUAUCGCCUUUGGAUGGGCCCGCGUUGGAUUAGCUAGUUGGUAGGGUAAAAGCCUACCAAGGCGACGAUCCAUAGCUGGUCUGAGAGGAUGAUCAGCCACACUGGGACUGAGACACGGCCCAGACUCCUACGGGAGGAGGAAGGGGGGAAUAUGGGACAAGGGGCGAAAGCCGGACCCAGCUAUGCCGGGGGAGGGAUAAGGGCGUUAGGGUAGAAAAGCUUUUUUACCCGGGAGGAAAAUAACAGGACCGGAAAAAUAGGCCCGGGCUAACCCCGUG